This is a long non-coding RNA of Capsicum annuum, 1105 nucleotides long. RefSeq lists it as uncharacterized. The transcript is spliced from 2 exons. The record is from RefSeq and is a predicted model, not a curated record. NCBI's taxonomy places the organism in Eukaryota, Viridiplantae, Streptophyta, Magnoliopsida, Solanales, Solanaceae.
GGGCGACCAGCCCAAAAAUUGAGCCAGCAGCCCACAACUCCAUUCCACCCCUAACCCGUCCAGCCCAACAGGUGCAGCAACCACAACGGCCCAGACACCUCUUUUCCAACCCAUUCUCUCCUUAUCAGAUUAACCCAGCCCAAUACCUCGAGACCCGGCCCAAUAACCCUUUUCCCUUACCCAAACACCAACAGAGCAACAACAAACGCUACAACAGCGUGCAACUUCAGCCCACCGUACAACAAAAUAACAGCAAUUUCACGACAAUAACAACGCCAAACUAGCCGUUUUCAUUUUUUUUUACCCUUUUAUCCCUUCCUACAACCAAGAAUGGCUACAAAGUCAUCCAUUUUUCCCCUUUUCAGGCCAUGUUCGCCCUAUUCGGGCAAAGAAUUAAUUCUCAACAGCUCUUUGUUUUGUCUCACUAUGGACUUCAACUUUUCAAAAAAUAGUCUCAAAAUUUGGACUUGAAGUCCAUAUUUUCAAAAUCUGAAGCCCUAAUUCUUUCCCUAUAAAUAGAGAUGAGGGUAAGGGGGAGGAUUUUUUGGGGGAAAAAUUGAGUAUUCCGGAGGCGCGUGCUUCUAAUCCUAUCUAACCCAAAAAACUCCCGAAGAAAGUACUCAAAAACCCAAUUCCGACGAAAGUUAAACCCCAAAAAUUCGAAAUUUAAACGUGGUCCGGUUCGCUGUCCGAAAUUCGAAAUUCGUCUUCGCUGUUCCGGUUCGCUGUCCGAAAAAAGAGGGAAACCCAAGAUUUGAAGUUUGGGGAUGCACCACCAUUGUCAAAGGCGCGCAUAAGUCCGGAAUAAAGACUCAAAAUGUGUUGAUCCUCGUCUCGUUUAAUGUGCAGUUUAGAUUUUAAUUUUUAAGACAUACUUUCCCAUCUCAAUAAGACUUUUCUGAAGAUACGAACACAAAACAAUUGAUACUUUAUAAAAAAAUAAUAAUCAAUUUUUGUGUUCAUAUAUUUGUCAUUCAUGCUUAUAUUAUUAGUCUUGAACUAGACAUAUUUUUAUAUUUUUUCUCCUUUAUGCCUUUUUUUAUUAAAUCUCACGUUUUAUUUGUACGUUGUGCUUAAAUAUAAUGGACCUUGAAACUUUUUUGCC